This is a transfer RNA of Camelus ferus (Wild Bactrian camel), 72 nucleotides long. It matches the Rfam family "tRNA". From Rfam's summary of the family: Transfer RNA (tRNA) molecules are approximately 80 nucleotides in length. Their secondary structure includes four short double-helical elements and three loops (D, anti-codon, and T loops). The record is from Rfam. Lineage: Eukaryota; Metazoa; Chordata; Mammalia; Artiodactyla; Camelidae.
GAGGGUAUAGCUCAGUGAUAGAGUGCAUGCUUGGUAUGCACAAGGUCUUGGGUCCAAUCCCCAGUACCUCCA